RNAcentral lists this ribosomal RNA (180 nucleotides) under uncultured bacterium. Its description in RNAcentral is "partial 16S ribosomal RNA". It matches the Rfam family "Bacterial small subunit ribosomal RNA", at positions 1321 to 1500 of the family's 1533-position model. The record is from RNAcentral.
CGAAGCUGGAAUCGCUAGUAAUCGCGGAUCAGCACGCCGCGGUGAAUACGUUCCCGGGCCUUGUACACACCGCCCGUCACACCAUGGGAGUUGGAAAUGCCCGAAGCCAGUGACCCAACCGUAAGGAGGGAGCUGUCGAAGGUGGAGCCGAUGACUGGGGUGAAGUCGUAACAAGGUAUC